CGCUGGCGGCGUGCCUAAUACAUGCAAGUCGAACGGUCUUUCUAUGGAAGCUUGCUUCCACUGAGAAGAUAGUGGCGAACGGGUGAGUAACACGUGGGUAACCUGCCCAUAAGAGGGGGAUAACAUCCGGAAACGGGUGCUAAUACCGCAUAGUUUUCUUGAUCGCAUGAUCGGGAAAGGAAAGACGGCCUUUGUGCUGUCGCUUAUGGAUGGACCCGCGGCGUAUUAGUUAGUUGGUGAGGUAACGGCUCACCAAGACGAUGAUACGUAGCCGACCUGAGAGGGUGAUCGGCCACAUUGGGACUGAGACACGGCCCAAACUCCUACGGGAGGCAGCAGUAGGGAAUCUUCCGCAAUGGACGAAAGUCUGACGGAGCAACGCCGCGUGAGUGAAGAAGGUUUUUUCGGAUCGUAAAACUCUGUUGUCAGAGAAGAACAAGUUGGAGAGUAACUGCUCCAGCCUUGACGGUAUCUGACCAGAAAGCCACGGCUAACUACGUGCCAGCAGCCGC
Molecule: ribosomal RNA, 512 nt
Filed under: uncultured bacterium
Lineage: Bacteria
Description: bacterial SSU rRNA
Rfam family: Bacterial small subunit ribosomal RNA
Source: RNAcentral